GUCUACGGCCAUGCCGCCCUCAACACCCCUGAUCCCAUCUGCCCUUGGAAGAUAAGUGGGGUCGGGUCUGGUUAGUACUUGGAGGGGAGACCACCUAGGAAGACCGGGUGCUGUAGGCA
This 119-nucleotide ribosomal RNA is filed under the name Pteropus alecto (black flying fox). Lineage: Eukaryota; Metazoa; Chordata; Mammalia; Chiroptera; Pteropodidae. The record is from RNAcentral.